AGUAAGCAGUCCGAAAAAACAAGCAAAAUCUAUAAAUAAAAAUAUUAAAAAAUUAUCCUUCGUUAAAAAUGGAGGCAAAUAAGCUUGUAAUUGUAUUUCUUAUGUGCAUAGUUGUGAUGUCAACUGUGCACAACACCACUGCUGAACUUUUCAAGGGCUGCUACGACGAAUGUGUCAAGGACUGUACCGAAUCUAUUUGUAGAAAUAAAUGUGAGAUCGAAUGUGAUUGUCUGGAUAAUAGAGAAAAAUUGAAUAGUCUCAAGCCUUCGAAUUAAACCAAUGACGUGGGGAAUCACCUCCACAAGGAGAUGGGGAAAAAUGAAGAAAAAAAGAGUGCACAUUCUUUAUCAAUUAAUUUACUCAUUAAUUCUCUUUUUACUGCUCUUGUAAUGCAAAAAUUUAAUAAAAGUUUUACUUUGAUUUAUUAUUUCAUAAA
Molecule: non-coding RNA, 436 nt
Organism: Solanum lycopersicum (tomato)
Lineage: Eukaryota; Viridiplantae; Streptophyta; Magnoliopsida; Solanales; Solanaceae
Source: RefSeq, a predicted model, not a curated record